RNAcentral lists this ribosomal RNA (481 nucleotides) under uncultured bacterium. RNAcentral's name for it is "SSU rRNA". It matches the Rfam family "Bacterial small subunit ribosomal RNA", at positions 26 to 521 of the family's 1533-position model. The record is from RNAcentral.
AGGAUGAACGCUGGCGGCGUGCUUAACACAUGCAAGUCGAACGGUGAAAGAGGAGCUUGCUCCUCUGGAUCAGUGGCGAACGGGUGAGUAACACGUGAGUAACCUGCCCUUGACUCUGGGAUAAGCGUUGGAAACGACGUCUAAUACCGGAUACGACCUCCGAAGGCAUCUUCUGGAGGUGGAAAGAAUUUCGGUCAAGGAUGGACUCGCGGCCUAUCAGCUAGUUGGUGAGGUAAUGGCCCACCAAGGCGACGACGGGUAGCCGGCCUGAGAGGGUGACCGGCCACACUGGGACUGAGACACGGCCCAGACUCCUACGGGAGGCAGCAGUGGGGAAUAUUGCACAAUGGGCGCAAGCCUGAUGCAGCAACGCCGCGUGAGGGACGACGGCCUUCGGGUUGUAAACCUCUUUAGUAGGAAGAAGCGAAAGUGACGGUACCUGCAGAAAAGCACCGGCUAACUACGUGCCAGCAGCCGCGGU